Molecule: long non-coding RNA, 428 nt
Organism: Lacerta agilis (Sand lizard)
Lineage: Eukaryota; Metazoa; Chordata; Lepidosauria; Squamata; Lacertidae
Exons: 3
Source: RefSeq, a predicted model, not a curated record
GUGACCUGGGGUGAAGAAAGACAAGAUGACAUGUAACUUAGCUCAUCGCUGCAUCCUUCCAUGAACUUGAAGCAUGCAAAGGUCUGCAUGAAUGUCAGUCUAUGGUCAAAGCUUACAUGCCUCAUUCAACUCUUGGGUUUAUAACCUCAAGCAAAAGCAGCACUGGAUUAAAUCUGAUGCAGGUUCAGAAGGGUUAACAAAAGGAGGAAAAUGCCAGAGCACCAGAAAAUUAAGGGAAGCAGUGAGAGCCAUGUGUAUUGAAGCAUGGAUUUAAGAAAGAGACAGAGAGAUUAUAAGCUCAGAAAGAAAGGAUCAGACUUCAGGACAAGCAGUACCAGAAAGCCCAGAACAGUCUUCUCUCAGUCAGUCAGCAUAAUACAUUAAAUAGGUGUCUAUAGAGUGCCCGUAAGAUUAAAGCUCAUUUCACA